Molecule: non-coding RNA, 159 nt
Filed under: Chaetomium globosum CBS 148.51
Lineage: Eukaryota; Fungi; Ascomycota; Sordariomycetes; Sordariales; Chaetomiaceae
Description: Eukaryotic small subunit ribosomal RNA
Rfam family: Eukaryotic small subunit ribosomal RNA
Source: Rfam by way of RNAcentral
CACCGCCCGUCGCUACUACCGAUUGAAUGGCUCAGUGAGGCUUCCGGACUGGCCUAGAGAGGUCGGCAACGACCACUCAGGGCCGGAAAGCUAUCCAAACUCGGUCAUUUAGAGGAAGUAAAAGUCGUAACAAGGUCUCCGUUGGUGAACCAGCGGAGG